GAAACCGGAGCUAAUACCGGAUAAUAUAUUGAACCGCAUGGUUCAAUAGUGAAAGACGGUUUUGCUGUCACUUAUAGAUGGAUCCGCGUCGCAUUAGCUAGUUGGUAAGGUAACGGCUUACCAAGGCAACGAUGCGUAGCCGACCUGAGAGGGUGAUCGGCCACACUGGAACUGAGACACGGUCCAG
RNAcentral lists this ribosomal RNA (187 nucleotides) under uncultured Staphylococcus sp. Its description in RNAcentral is "partial 16S ribosomal RNA". It matches the Rfam family "Bacterial small subunit ribosomal RNA", at positions 153 to 334 of the family's 1533-position model. The record is from RNAcentral. Lineage: Bacteria; Bacillati; Bacillota; Bacilli; Caryophanales; Staphylococcaceae.